Ostrea edulis (European flat oyster) is the source of this 1187-nucleotide long non-coding RNA. RefSeq lists it as uncharacterized. The record is from RefSeq and is a predicted model, not a curated record. Lineage: Eukaryota; Metazoa; Mollusca; Bivalvia; Ostreida; Ostreidae. The transcript is spliced from 2 exons.
UGUGUAGUUGUAAAAACAAUUGACGUCAAUGUGUUGGCGUGCACUGUUUUCCGUACAAUGUAGGUACUCCUGACUGCUGAAUAUCUUGUUUAUUACAUCUAUUCACAAGAACAUGUCUUUUGAAAUUCGAUUUAAAAAUAAAAAUACUAGAAAAAGGUCAGUUACCAAAAGAAAGUACAUUUGUAGAUGGUCAAGAAUGAUGGCUCAAAGGUCACGAAUGAUGGUUCAAAAGUACAAAGUAGCUAGUUUUUUUUCAUGUUGUUUUUUGUCCGAAAGACUUUUAGUUAAAAAAAAUCCUUGAAGACUGGUUCGCUGGAGGUUAAACAUUGGUGUGUUCUAACUUACCUGAGCUAUUCUGAACAAACUUUAUUCAUUGUCAGAUGUCUGUUUGUAAUUUGUUACCUUAUUGUCUAGCCAGAAACUACCAAAUGCGGUCCUGUCAAUCAUAGGAAAUUGUUACGAUAUGUAGAGGAUAAUUACAUUUAAAUGUUUAACAAUUUGUAUCUGAAGUGAUUGAAUUGUAACAUUUGAUAAUUUAUUUGAAACGUAAAGUAAUUAGAUCCACCACUUUAUUUGUUUGCUCGUUGUCAUGGGCCAUGCAUAGCGUCUGGCAGACGAGGAGGACUCGACACAAGAUGCGGCCAUAGCAGAUCGACACGGGACUGUCUGAAGAAAAACUUGUGCGUAAUCAGAUAAAUCUGAUGAUGGCGGGGACGUUCGUGCGAUGUGUGCGUGUCGGUUUCGAGACGAGGGUUUCGGGAUUCGAACAUGUGUUUGGAGUCGGUGAUUAAACUGGGAUUUCGCUGUGAGGCUCUUGCAAGAGGAAGGGAUAAACAGCACAAAUGGCGGACAUAAGGAAUGAACUAUCCUUCAAGCCUGCUAAGGCAAACAGAACAAAAUGGGAUGAACAUAAAAUUACUGGCAGUAUCAACGAUGUCGAGGAAUUGGCCUGUAACAGAACUAUGCCGAUGUUUCAAAUAAACACCCUGAAGGUCAAUCAUCCUGUGUCCUUCUUCCCCAUCUCCAUUGCAUCUUGUGAGAGGGAAUUCUCCACCAUGAAAAGAAGAAUAUGGACCUCACCAUUAAUUUAAGCAUGAUCCAUAAAGCCAUUGCCUAACUCUGUUUCAGAUAAUCAUAGUUUCUGUUCUAAAACUUCUUGAAAUUAAAUAAAGAUAUUGAAUCAUUUU